This 467-nucleotide ribosomal RNA is filed under the name uncultured bacterium. RNAcentral's name for it is "partial 16S ribosomal RNA". It matches the Rfam family "Bacterial small subunit ribosomal RNA", at positions 28 to 506 of the family's 1533-position model. The record is from RNAcentral.
GACGAACGCUGGCGGCGUGCUUAACACAUGCGAGUCGAACGGAAAGGCCCUGCUUUUGUGGGGUGCUCGAGUGGCGAACGGGUGAGUAACACGUGAGUAACCUGCCCUUGACUUUGGGAUAACUUCAGGAAACUGGGGCUAAUACCGGAUAGGAGCUCCUGCUGCAUGGUGGGGGUUGGAAAGUUUCGGCGGUUGGGGAUGGACUCGCGGCUUAUCAGCUUGUUGGUGGGGUAGUGGCUUACCAAGGCUUUGACGGGUAGCCGGCCUGAGAGGGUGACCGGCCACAUUGGGACUGAGAUACGGCCCAGACUCCUACGGGAGGCAGCAGUGGGGAAUAUUGCACAAUGGGCGGAAGCCUGAUGCAGCAACGCCGCGUGCGGGAGGACGGCCUUCGGGUUGUAAACCGCUUUCGCCUGUGACGAAGCGUGAGUGACGGUAAUGGGUAAAGAAGCACCGGCUAACUACGU